RNAcentral lists this ribosomal RNA (440 nucleotides) under uncultured bacterium. RNAcentral describes it as "bacterial SSU rRNA". It matches the Rfam family "Bacterial small subunit ribosomal RNA", at positions 338 to 775 of the family's 1533-position model. The record is from RNAcentral.
CCUACGGGAGGCAGCAGUAAGGAAUAUUGGUCAAUGGGCGAAAGCCUGAACCAGCCAUGCCGCGUGAAGGAUGAAGGCCCUCCGGGUUGUAAACUUCUUUUAUCUGGGACGAACCCCUCAAAUUCUUUUGAGGCUGACGGUACCAGAGGAAUCAGCACCGGCUAACUCCGUGCCAGCAGCCGCGGUAAUACGGAGGGUGCAAGCGUUAUCCGGAUUCACUGGGUUUAAAGGGUGCGCAGGCGGGCCGGUAAGUCAGUGGUGAAAUCCUGGGGCUUAACCCCAGAACUGCCGUUGAUACUACGGGUCUUGAAUGUUGUGGAGGCGAGCGGAAUAUGUCAUGUAGCGGUGAAAUGCAUAGAGAUGACAUAGAACACCAAUUGCGCAGGCAGCUCGCUACGCAAAGAUUGACGCUGAGGCACGAAAGCGUGGGGAUCAAACAG